CAGUCGCCGCGGUAAAACGUAGGUGGCAAGCGUUGUCCGGAAUUAUUGGGCGUAAAGGGCUCGCAGGCGGCUUCUUAAGUCUGAUGUGAAAGCCCCCGGCUCAACCGGGGAGGGUCAUUGGAAACUGGGAAACUUGAGUGCAGAAGAGGAGAGUGGAAUUCCACGUGUAGCGGUGAAAUGCGUAGAGAUGUGGAGGAACACCAGUGGCGAAGGCGACUCUCUGGUCUGUAACUGACGCUGAGGAGCGAAAGCGUGGGGAGCGAACAGGAUUAGAUACCCCUGUAGUCCCUGUCUCUUAUAC
Molecule: ribosomal RNA, 301 nt
Filed under: uncultured bacterium
Lineage: Bacteria
Description: partial 16S ribosomal RNA
Rfam family: Bacterial small subunit ribosomal RNA
Source: RNAcentral